This 70-nucleotide transfer RNA is filed under the name Afronycteris nanus (Banana bat). RNAcentral describes it as "partial tRNA-Thr". The record is from RNAcentral. Lineage: Eukaryota; Metazoa; Chordata; Mammalia; Chiroptera; Vespertilionidae.
AGUCCCUGUAGUAUAUUAAUUACUCUGGUCUUGUAAGCCAGCAAAGAGGAAAACAACUCCUCCAGAGACU